Molecule: ribosomal RNA, 201 nt
Filed under: uncultured bacterium
Lineage: Bacteria
Description: partial 16S ribosomal RNA
Rfam family: Bacterial small subunit ribosomal RNA
Source: RNAcentral
ACGCUCGACACCUACGGGAGGCAGCAGUGGGGGGAUAUUGCACAAUGGGGGAAACCCUGAUGCAGCGACGCCGCGUGAAGGAAGAAGGCCUUCGGUGUAACUACUNUCGUCGGCGGAUAGUGACGGUACCGUACAAGAAAGACACGGCAACUACGUGUCAGCAGCCGCGGUAAUCUGNGGCGGGCGGUCGGCGAACGGACG